Molecule: long non-coding RNA, 571 nt
Organism: Bombyx mori (domestic silkworm)
Lineage: Eukaryota; Metazoa; Arthropoda; Insecta; Lepidoptera; Bombycidae
Exons: 2
Source: RefSeq, a predicted model, not a curated record
AAUGGCGAAAGUGGUCCGUCAAAUCAAUAUCAUGUCUUAUCCCCUUAAUUCUUUAAUAUUAAUAAAAAAUCUCUUUUCUUAUUGUCUCCCUGAUAUUCCAGUUACAUGUUAUUAUCACUGAAGUAUGAAACCUAGUUAUUAUCUAUGCCACCUAAGUACACCGCAUACAUCACUUUAAUAAUGUCAGCGUAACUGUUCGUAAAUAAGUCCACAUAAUUUAAAAAACGCGUAACCGUCGUGUGCAUUUCAAAUUUUUGCAUGAUCAUGUGAAGAUUAACAUAUAUCGUUGCGUUUAUUGAUGCAAUUAUAGUAAUAUCCUAUGUCAGAUAAUUUUUCACAUUAUGGUUUACGGGAUGCUUUUGGCUGCGUUUUUGUUGGCUCUUUGGGCACCAUGUCUGAAGCAAGGGCUAUGUGCGUCCCCUGGACCGGUUUACGCGAAAGAUCGGAAGAACAGGAUAUUUCGAAUUACGCCGACCGGAUAUUGUUGUGAUAAUGCAUGUAGAUAGUUUCAGUGAUUUGCUCCAUUUAAAUCGGUUUAUAUGUUUUUUUUAAUAAAUGCAUCUUUGAUUUA